AGUGAACGCUGGCGGUAGGCCUAGCACAUGCAAGUCGAACGGCAGCACAGGAGAGCUUGCUCUCUGGGUGGCGAGUGGCGGACGGGUGAGGAAUACAUCGGAAUCUACUUUUUCGUGGGGGAUAACGUAGGGAAACUUACGCUACUACCGCAUACGACCUACGGGUGAAAGCAGGGGACCUUCGGGCCUUGCGCGAUUGAAUGAGCCGAUGUCGGAUUAGCUAGUUGGCGGGGUAAAGGCCCACCAAGGCGACGAUCCGUAGCUGGUCUGAGAGGAGGAUCAGCCACACUGGAACUGAGACACGGUCCAGACUCCUACGGGAGGCAGCAGUGGGGAAUAUUGGACAAUGGGCGCAAGCCUGAUCCAGCCAUACCGCGUGGGUGAAGAAGGCCUUCGGGUUGUAAAGCCCUUUUGUUGGGAAAGAAAUCCAGCUGGCUAAUACCCGGUUGGGAUGACGGUACCCAAAGAAUAAGCACCGGCUAACUUCGUGCCAGCAGCCGCAGUAA
This 506-nucleotide ribosomal RNA is filed under the name uncultured bacterium. RNAcentral's name for it is "partial 16S ribosomal RNA". It matches the Rfam family "Bacterial small subunit ribosomal RNA", at positions 29 to 523 of the family's 1533-position model. The record is from RNAcentral.